This 1401-nucleotide long non-coding RNA is filed under the name Rattus norvegicus (Norway rat). RNAcentral describes it as "long non-coding RNA NONRATT030018". Lineage: Eukaryota; Metazoa; Chordata; Mammalia; Rodentia; Muridae. The record is from RNAcentral.
GUGAUAAUUUAAGACAUCUGUUACUCUGUUAAUGCUGCAAACAUAGCCGUGCAACGAGGGCAACCAUGUGUUUCAAAGCUGGCAGUAUCUAAGCUACAACUUGAUUAAAGUGUGGGAAUAAUAAUCUUAAAAUCAAGAGCAGUUUUUUAUAAGGGCAUGGCAUGUUAUGCUGCCAAAACCCAUCUGUAUGCUAAGAAACCACUUAACUUCUGAUGACGGUGUAGAAUGGUUAUCUGAGUCAGAAUCAACCUGUAAUCAUUCUGUACGUUGUUGAUUUGAACAUCAGUGGAAAACUAGAUCUAUUGGUGUUUAGUUAGAGCAAACUUUCCUAUCUGAAUCCUAAUCUCGGUCUAAGAAGUCUAUGGGGAUCCAUUUUGUAAAGUUCAUGUGCUAUUUUAAAUGGUUUUUACUUUUAGUAUUUGUAAGGUAGUGAUGUUACUGUGACAAAAGUUUGUAGACACCAUGUAGCACCAUUAACUGCUCUAGAGCCUAAUAGACAGUGUAUUUUGUAUUUCAUGUGUACUUUUUCUGUUUCAUAUUGGACUUUUUACAUCCCUUUUUUAGGAAAAAAAAGGAUACAUUUAAAAAUUUUUUAGGGUAAUCUGUAUUGGAAGCUAAGUAUCCUCACAGUUAGCAAAUAUACUUUAUCACCAAAGCUAAAUGAAACUGUAAGAUACCUCUGGAUAUUUGUGCCAAUGAACUUUCUUAGUAAUCUGGGGAUAAAACAAAAGUAAUCUUUUCAGUAUUUUUCAUCUAGGACUUACAAUAAAUGUGGAUAUCUUGAAAACAUGUUCCAUACUCUGUUUUUCUUUGAAAAUGCUCAAAGCUUUAGGACAGUGCAUUCUGUGUUCUGUUGCGUCUGGUUUCCUGACAUUGCUGGGUAAACGAUGAGUCCACUCAGUAGUAAUCUUUGAGCAGUUAAUUGAGGUAAUCGUUUGAAGUAAUCUGACUUUGGCUUGUUUUGUGGUGUAAAUAGUCAAUUGUUUUACAGAAUCCAUUUUUGGUGUAGGUGUCUUGGUUUAUACAGUUGAAAGCUUGUCCUGUGGGGUUUCUGUUGCUUUCUGUAUGUCUCUGUUCAGUCCCUAGUGUUUAUCCAGUAGAACCUAAUAGAGUAUGAUGAGGCAAGCCACUUAGCAUGCACAUCUUGGGCCAAAUACUACGAAAUACAGUUGUUGAUGAAACACACUGGCAUUGAUAGGGCAUUAGACAAAACUAGAAAUGUAGCAGGUGCAGAAGCCAUUGUGGGCCCCGGGAACUCAAGUUUUCCCCCAGAGGGAUGUUGUGGAAAUUGCAGUGUUUCAUUCAGUCUCGCCUAGCGUUUCCCAUGGCCUCUCUGCCCUGCCUACUGUAAUGCUGGCACAUUUUUCAUAAGUUAACCUCGCAAGUGAAGAGACAGAACAU